Molecule: ribosomal RNA, 692 nt
Filed under: uncultured bacterium
Lineage: Bacteria
Description: bacterial SSU rRNA
Rfam family: Bacterial small subunit ribosomal RNA
Source: RNAcentral
ACCGGCGCACGGGUGCGUAACGCGUAUACACUUACCCUUCACUGGGGGAUAUCCCGAAGAAAUUCGGAUUAAUACCCCAUAUUAUCGCACGGUUUAAGGGUUACUGUGAAGGACGUGUAUGCGUGACAUUCGAUAGUUGGUGAGGUAACGGCUCACCAAGUCAGCGAUGUCUAGGGGUUCUGAGAGGAUGAUCCCCCACACUGGUACUGAGACACGGACCAGACUCCUACGGGAGGCAGCAGUGAGGAAUAUUGGUCAAUGGGCGAAAGCCUGAACCAGCCAUGCCGCGUGCAGGAAGACGGCCUAUGGGUUGUAAACUGCUUUUAUAUAGGAAGAAACUUUGAGACUUGUCUCGAACUGACGGUACUAUAUGAAUAAGGACCGGCUAACUCCGUGCCAGCAGCCGCGGUAAUACGGAGGGUCCAAGCGUUAUCCGGAAUUAUUGGGUUUAAAGGGUUCGUAGGUGGGCUAUUAAGUCAGAGGUGAAAUCCCACAGCUUAACUGUGGAACUGCCUUUGAUACUGAUAGUCUUGAGUAUACACGAAGUACGCGGAAUAGGUCAUGUAGCGGUGAAAUGCAUAGAUAUGACCUAGAACACCGAUUGCGAACGCAGCUUACUAGAACUAUACUGACACUGAAGAACGAAAGGGUGGGAAGCGAAUAGGCAUAUACGCCCUGGUAGUCCACCCGGC